UGGGGAAUAUUGGACAAUGGGCGCAAGCCUGAUCCAGCCAUACCGCGUGUGUGAAGAAGGCCUUCGGGUUGUAAAGCACUUUUGUCCGGAAAGAAAUGGCUCUGGUUAAUACCUGGGGUCGAUGACGGUACCGGAAGAAUAAGGACCGGCUAACUACGUGCCAGCAGCCGCGGUAAUACGUAGGGUCCAAGCGUUAAUCGGAAUUACUGGGCGUAAAGCGUGCGCAGGCGGUUUGCUAAGACCGAUGUGAAAUCCCCGGGCUCAACCUGGGAACUGCAUUGGUGACUGGCAGGCUAGAGUAUGGCAGAGGGGGGUAGAAUUCCACGUGUAGCAGUGAAAUGCGUAGAGAUGUGGAGGAAUACCGAUGGCGAAGGCAGCCCCCUGGGCCAAAUACUGACGCUCAUGCAUCGAAAGCGUGGGGAGCAAACAGGAUUAGAUACCCUGGUAGUCCAGCGCCCAU
Molecule: ribosomal RNA, 460 nt
Filed under: uncultured bacterium
Lineage: Bacteria
Description: partial 16S ribosomal RNA
Rfam family: Bacterial small subunit ribosomal RNA
Source: RNAcentral